This is a long non-coding RNA of Corticium candelabrum, 844 nucleotides long. RefSeq lists it as uncharacterized. The transcript is spliced from 4 exons. NCBI's taxonomy places the organism in Eukaryota, Metazoa, Porifera, Homoscleromorpha, Homosclerophorida, Plakinidae. The record is from RefSeq and is a predicted model, not a curated record.
AGAGUUUGGACGCAUUUUGUGCUACUCUUUACUGCAAGCAUGAUGGAGAAGUGGAAUGAUUCUUGCACAAGAUUUUGGCGAUGGGGCAGCAAGAAACCAAAGUGAGUGGAAAAUGAAUGAUUGAACUUGAACAGAGAUAUAGGGCUGAGUUUAAAGACAUUGAUAUUUCAGGUUGCAGAUGCUUUGCUGCAAUGGAACUGAUGAUGGUGCAGCUUUCCAGCAAGAUGCAGAAACCAGUUCGACAAGAAGUCAAAGUUGAUAUAUAUGAUUAUUGCUUGGUUGUGAACUUGGACAUAUUAUUGCCUUUGGACAUCAUGAACAAUCGACUUUCUUGUCGACUCCCUCUGAGAAGUAGUCUGAAACAUGUCAGCUAACUCAACCAAAGACAAAGAGAGUUGAAGGCAGGUGGCAAAAGAAUGGAUGACCUAGUCAGAAAAUAUGAAUACGAUCUCUAUUAAUGUGGAAGGAAAGUGAUGAUGCAGAGUCCACAGUAGACAAGGUUUCUCAAGUUGCUCCAUACUUGAUUGUAUGUGGCAAUCCAGCCAAACCAAGCCAAGUUAUUGGCAUCCGAGCUCAUCAUCAUGUUCGAAAUUCUGUGCAGCAACAGCAUAUGCCGUCCAGCGCUAUUACUUGCUGUAAUUUAUGUUUUCAAUACAAAUUUUCUACAAUGUUUAGCAACUUUUUACUGAUGCCUAGACGUCAUGUUACUGAGAUGUACUUCAGCUCCAGUGAUAUCUAGUUUCCUUAGCUGGAUUGCAAUGAGGAACUUUGUUUGAUAAAUUGUGUUUUGCUUUUUGUUUAGCGCGUUGACUCAGUAUUUUUGGUUUAAAUGUUUAAAUACAAG